RNAcentral lists this unclassified non-coding RNA (311 nucleotides) under Hevea brasiliensis (rubber tree). Lineage: Eukaryota; Viridiplantae; Streptophyta; Magnoliopsida; Malpighiales; Euphorbiaceae. The record is from RNAcentral.
CAAGAUUUGAUCUUGAGUUGAAAGAUGUGUCUGAUAUUUUUGUAGAGUCUCCCUUCAGGGUGUUUGCAGAUAGCUUGAAAAAUGGGGGAAUUAUCAAAGUAUUAUGUGUGCCUUCAGGUGCUAAGAGUUAUUCAAAUACAGCUCUGAAGAAAGGUGACAUUUACAAUGAAGCGAUCAAGUCUGGGGCAAAGGGAUUACCCUUUCUUAAGGUCUUAGAUGAUGGGGAGGUUGAGGGAAUUCCUGCACUAGUGUCAAGUUUGGAUCCGACAAGUAAAGAACAGUUGCUGAGACGAUGCUCUGCAGGACCAGGG